CUCAUUGUCUUUCGCUGCCACCAUGUAAGAAGAGUCUUUUGCCUCCCGUCAUGAUUCUGAGGGCUCCCCAACUACAUAGAACUGUAAGUCCAAUUAAACCUCUUUUUCUUCCCAGUUUCUUCCCAGUUUCUUUCCCAGUUUCAGCAUGAAAAGAGACUAACACACCUAUAUAUAAUAAAUGUUCACUUAUUAUACUCUAUGUUGUAGUCAUAAUGAAAGGAAAUACUAAAUAACAAAAUGUUUAGAAGUGAUUAUCUCUAGAUGGUGGGAUGACGGGAUUUAGGUGGCUUUAUUUUCUUUUUCUUUUUUUUUUUUUGUUUAGAGCAGACAGCACCUCUCUCUCCCAGAGUCCCAAGGCAGAGCUCGGUCAUUUCCUCUGAGGGCCUUUGAUCUGCAUCCUCCCCCAAUCCCGCCUAGCCCCAUCUGAGAGUUCAUCAGGGUUAAUGAGCCACAGCUUUGCGUGACAGACACUGAGACCAGAACUUUCCUCCUGUCAGUCCUUAUCUGGACAGCCCUGAGGAACUCCAGGAUACCUCAGAAACUGGCCUAUUAGGGUUGAUUGGUUAAUUGGAAAUUCCCGAGGAUCUCCAUUGAGGCCUUCUCCACCCACAGCCUGAAGAUCUUUCCAGUCUCAGUGCCAGCUAGGACCCUGCUGCUCACAAGCGUUGCUCCUCUGCCCGAGCGGGGCAGGGAGAGGCCGCUCUGUGCUCCCCAGCCUGGGGCUCAUGCAGUCACCUCCCAGGGAGCCUGGGCCCAGGCCCCAGAGGUAUAAACACAUGCCAUGGAGACAUAGGAGGCCAGGUGGGAAGAAGUCAGAGAGAGGUGGGUUCAGCUUAGAGGUGGGGUCAGCACGCAGACCAGUGGGCAGCCUGCUUCCUCUUUGCCUUUGCACGGACAGCUCCACGCCCAAUAAUUAAAACAUUAAGCCAGGCAUGGUGGCUUAUGCCUGUAAUCCCAGCAUGUUGGGAGGCUGAGGCAGGAAGGCAGGAGUUCAAGACAGGCCUGGGCGACAUAGCAAGACCUCGUCUCUAUCAAACAAACAAACAAAAAGAAUUAGAACAUCAUGUUUCCCUCAGAGUUAAACCAGCCAGGUCCACCCAUGUAAGGCGACUGACCAUGCUGAGGCCAGCAGGGGUUUGGGGAGUCCAGGCAGGGCUUUCCCAGAUGAGAGGGAGCCAAAUCCAUGGAAACACGCCUGGACUGAACAGAGACCCUGAGGGGGAAGGAAGCUGGUUCACUGCGGAGGCCUAUAAAACAGGACCUUGGGGAGCCAUGUCGGGGUGCUACUCCUCUGUGCACCAGUAGGCGAGGGUUCUGGAGUGGCCCUGGCUGAGGAAUUCCCCUGGAGGCAUCAUCCUGUGGUUGCCUGAAGCCCCAGGCCCUCUGAGCCAACUUCUUGCCACUGCUGCUUGCUGGCCAGUUUGCCAGUGGUGGCAAGGGCCUGGCCUGGCCAGGCUGACCUGAGGUUGGCCCUCUGGACUGUCCUGUUUCCCUGGUCAUACCCAGCCCUAGCACACACAUCCUUGGCAGGCUGCCCCGUGCGGCUUCUGAGCUGGGGAGGCUGAUGGCAGACCGUACAUGGCAGGGUUUGCUUAUCGGUCUUUCUGGGGCAGUCAGUUGGCCUUGCCCCAGUGGGUAGUCCACUCUGCUUAGCUUCAUCAUCUCCUUUUUAAAAACUGAGCAGUUACUAUAGUCAGAGCCUAAUGCCAUAUGCAUAGUCUCGUCUAAUCCUCCCCAGGUACUUACUAUUAUAUUACAGACGAAGAAACUGAGGCUCGCAAAGGUUUUUGUGCUCUAGAUUCUGGAGCACAUAUGGAGUGAGCUAUGUGAUUUAACCACGUCUUUUUUUUUUUUUUUUCGAGACACAGUCUCCCUCUGUUACCCAGGCUGGAGUGCAGUGGUGCAGCUGUGGCUCACUGCAACCUCCACCUCCCAGGUUCAAGCGAUUCUCAUGCCUCAGCCUCCCAAGUAGCUGGGAUUACAGGCAUGCGCCAUCACGCCUGGCUAAUUUUUAGGGGCUAUUUUUACUAGAGACGGGGUUUUGCCAUGUCGACCAGGCUGAUCUUGAACUCCUGGCCUCAAGUGAUCCACCCGCCUUGGCCUCCCAAAGUGCUGGGAUUACAGGCAUGAGCCACUGCGCCUGGCCAAACCACUGUCUUACAUUGCCUUCCAUAGACCUCAGCAUCUGAUACUAUAAUAUGCCCUUAAGCACAAGAGAAUCUUCUCCAAAUACUUAGACCCAAAUUGUGUGAGAAGCCAAGACACUGGGAAAUUUCCUGCCAUAGUUGAGCAGCUCAUUCUCAAAAUACACAGGGCUGACUUCUUGGGUCACUGUGGGCCCAAGACUGAAGAGGAUGACUGGGUAGGGCCUACCAGGCACCUCUCAGGGAGGCUCAGCCCUCUUUUCCAGCCUUUUCUCCUCUUCUAGCACUUCUUGGAGGUCAGGACAAGAGGACUAAAGUGUUUGUCCUCUCCAGAGAAGAAUGCUAAGGUCUUGCAACACAAUCCUGGAACCAACAAAUAUGCGUCCUUCAAAUGCCACGCCAAGUGCUGUGCCAUGCUUGCCCUCCAUGGUUUUACUGUAGCUGUUCCUCUGCCUGGAUGCCCCCCAUUUUAUUGCCUUAGUCUCUAUUUCAGCUAAUUUUUUUUAUAACUAGCGUGGGCCCUCUUGAAAGGAGACCCUGAAAUAUACACCUGGGUGCCAUACCCAUAAUUUAUUUGGGAGGCGAUCUCAAGGAGUGCGGAGAUGGAAUAAGGAAGUGAGACAGGGAAGGAAAGGCACUGAUGAUGUGUUGAUGAGCAGAGACUGCCAUGGACAACUGGGGCUCCAUCUUGCUGGGGGCCUCAUCUUGCUGGGGGCCUCUGUAAGACUGUGUAGAGCAUACCUCAGGAUUGUUCCAUUAAGUGGCAAGGAAGAGGGGAUAUCUAUCCACCAGCUUCUGCUUUUUGUUGGUUUGAGGGUUCUUCUGUGGCUUUAACUUCCUGGCACAUAGAUCAAGCAACUCCAUGGAGGGCUAAGGGGAUAGGGUAGGCACUGACAGCACCUGCUAUAGCAUCCUUCAAGAUUUCACCCAAGCGGAUGCCCCCAGGCGAAUUAAGUGCCUUCCUUGGUAUUCUUUCCUAGGUAACAUUGGCUACCUUUCAUCAAGCAGAUUGAUGUGGCUCAUUCUGUAGUUUAGGACUAAACUUCCUGAUAACAGAGCCGCAUGGUUUAUUUCCUAGCCCUAGUGCCUGGGGUGGUGUCUGGCACACAGGAGAAAUGUUCUGACAAAUGAAUGGGAAAAGGUAUGACAGUGUACAUGGAGGAUCAUGGUGUUCUUCACAAUUCCCAGGAGUGGAUGGGGCAGGACUCAAAACAGUAAAAAUCAAAUUCAAGUUCCUGAAAUUCACAGCUCAAGUCCUCCAGCAUCCCAGCAUUGAGAAGGGCUAAGAUGAGAGUUGAGACGGAGGAGUGAGCAAAAGUGGAGGUAGAAAAUUGAGUCCCAGAAAACCUUCCAAUUCAGAUUCCCCACAUUCUUAGGAUCUUUGAGAGAAAAAAUCUGUUGGAAGAUUACAAGGUUAGACAGUAAAACUAUAGCAGCAGGGGGAAAAAAGAGCCAGUAAUUAUAUACUUGGCCACACUUUUAUGGAUUUAGAUAAAAAUCAGAGUCAUGGAUCUUUGGCCUUAGAAAGAACUUUAGAAGUUGUCUGGUCCCAUCCCUCCUUGUCGAUUUUAGGAGAAAACUGAGCCCCAGAGAGAGAAAUUGGCUUGUCUGAGGUCACACAGUGUUGAGUUCCUAAUUACCCAGUGAAAAGCAAAGGCGAUCUAAUUCUCACUGUUUCACUCUGGCUCUGGGUUUAUUUGCACAGCUAACCAGGUCUCACCUGCCCUGAUAUUAGCAAUGUGAGUCUUUCCCUGAAGGUAUGGCUAAGUAAACACACCUGGCAAGCAUCAAGCCACAGAGCGGUUUCAGGGGCUCUGACUCCAGCUGUUCCCAUUUACCCCCAGAACUCCAGGAAUAAUUACUCCCAAUACAGACUGCCCCAGAGACCCAGAAUUGGUAUCUUCUAAGUGAGUCCUGUCCAGCUCUCUUUACAACUCUUGCAGCCUGCAAUGGGGUGAUGAGGGCUGGCCCAGGUGACAGGUGACUGCUUGGCCAGCUGCCCCUGCCCUGCUCUCCAGAUGCCAGUCAGCUACGCUGAGGGGUCUUCCCCAAAACAUGGGAGUCAGAAUGUACACGCCUAAAGAUUACAUUCUUCUCUGACACCAGAGAUAAGCCAGAAGAAUGGGAGGGUGAUUGUGGGAGGAGACGGUACCAGGUUGUCAAGUCUCCGGGAAGAGCCAGCUCUCUCCCAAAAUGGAAUGUAGAAAAGAGGCUUCCAAGUGGUAGAAACCAAGAUAUCUGAGUGGGUUCACUGACGUGGCUGCCCUGCCUGUGAGGAAAUGAUCUGGAGGAAAUAAAGUAGUAAUGGGUUGAGACGCAUGUUUAUUUUCUUUUUGAAGUGUCACUCACCAAGUCAUAUUUCAGCAUGAGGAUUGAUAGAAUGCUUAGAAUUUUAGAAGAUACCAUUUGAGAUCCUUUUAAAAUCCAUAGUGGAAAAGAUUCAAACAGAAAUGUGAGUUCAGACUCUAACCUGCCACUUUAUUUUGCAUGUGACUUUAGGAAGUGGGAUGGGACAGUGGAUAGGAAAAUUUACAAAUUAUAUUCUGGAAUUUACCACAGCCAGAGGCAGCAUACUAGGGGAAAAGGACCUUAACUGGGACACAAGACGCUGGAUUCUCAUUCCGACACCGCUACCAUCUUUCUGGGUACAGUGUCUGUGUUCUUAAGCUUCUGUCUAUUUCUUAUUUUUCAUCUGUAAAGUAAAUGAAUUGGCUUAGCAGUUCAGCACAUGUAUCUUGAGACCAUGCUAGUGUACGACCCAGGUGCUCAGGAGAUAACACGGGGGCUCAGAGAUGAACAAGGCUUGGACCCUUCCCUCAAGCAGUUCCCAGCCUAGAAGGGAUGGAAGACAGAAAAAAAUCAUGCACAGUGUGAGCACACAGCACAUCACAAAAAGUUGAACUGUGAGCUCUGUUCAUCCAGAAAUUAUGUCUAACUUGUUCACUGCUGCAUCUGAGUAUCUGGCAGCAACUGCACACCAUAGAUGCUUAAGAGAGAUUUACUGGGCUGGGCGCGGUGGCUCACACCUGUAAUCCUAGCACUUUGGGAGGCCGAGGCGGGUAGAUCACCUGAGGUCAGGAGUUGGAGACGAGCCUGGCCAGCAUGGUGAAACCUCAUCUCUACUAAAAUACAAAAAAUUGACUGGGUGUGGUGGCACUCACCUGUAAUCCCAUCUACUCAGGAGGCUGAGGCAGGAGAAUCGCUUGAACCCAGGAGGUGGAGGUUGCAGUGAGCUGAGAUUGCACCGUUGCACUCCAGCUGGAUAACAAGAGCAAAACUCUGUCUCACAAAAAAAAAAAAAAAGAGAGAGAGAGAGACAGAUUUACUGAAUGAAUGAGUGUGACUGUGCCCUCUCCUUCUCCUGUUUCUGAUCAGUUACAUUUCCUUAUUUGGAAUUUUCUUCAGAAGAGCAGUCGGGGUUUGUCUGUGCAUUUAUUUAGAUUUCUAAUAUGUUAACGAAAAUUCUUUCAAAAAUAGAAGUGCUUGACAAACAAAGCAAUGAUUUGGAAUCUUGUGGAGCUCGAGUGUUAUUUAUUCCCCAUUGCUAUAGAAACGUGC
RNAcentral lists this long non-coding RNA (5702 nucleotides) under Homo sapiens (human). RNAcentral's name for it is "HSALNT0399424". The record is from RNAcentral. Lineage: Eukaryota; Metazoa; Chordata; Mammalia; Primates; Hominidae.